ACAGGGGGUGCAAGCGUUAAUCGGAAUUACUGGGCGUAAAGCGCACGUAGGUGGCUUGGUAAGUUGGAUGUGAAAUCCCCGGGCUUAACUUGGGAAUUGCAUUCAAGACUGCCUUGCUAGAGUGUGGAAGAGGGAAGCGGAAUUCCAGGUGUAGCGGUGAAAUGCGUAGAUAUCUGGAGGAACAUCAGUGGCGAAGGCGGCUUCCUGGUCCAACACUGACACUGAGGUGCGAAAGCGUGGGGAGCAAACAGGA
RNAcentral lists this ribosomal RNA (253 nucleotides) under uncultured prokaryote. RNAcentral's name for it is "partial 16S ribosomal RNA". It matches the Rfam family "Bacterial small subunit ribosomal RNA", at positions 525 to 777 of the family's 1533-position model. The record is from RNAcentral.